RNAcentral lists this transfer RNA (76 nucleotides) under Candidatus Adlerbacteria bacterium RIFCSPHIGHO2_01_FULL_54_23. RNAcentral describes it as "tRNA-Ile". It matches the Rfam family "tRNA". From Rfam's summary of the family: Transfer RNA (tRNA) molecules are approximately 80 nucleotides in length. Their secondary structure includes four short double-helical elements and three loops (D, anti-codon, and T loops). Lineage: Bacteria; Candidatus Adleribacteriota. RNAcentral also lists the same sequence under 1 other name. The record is from RNAcentral.
GCGAGCGUAGCUCAGUUGGUAGAGCAUUCGACUGAUACUCGAAAGGUCCCAGGUUCGAUCCCUGGCGCUCGCACUA